GCCGUAUGUCCGGGUGGUGAGGGAGCUGUCUUGAAAACAGUUGGCCUUUCGAGGCUUGCAGGUUCAAAUCCUGUGUACGACG
RNAcentral lists this transfer RNA (82 nucleotides) under Eubacterium sp. Its description in RNAcentral is "tRNA-Ser". It matches the Rfam family "tRNA". Rfam says of the family: Transfer RNA (tRNA) molecules are approximately 80 nucleotides in length. Their secondary structure includes four short double-helical elements and three loops (D, anti-codon, and T loops). The record is from RNAcentral. Lineage: Bacteria; Bacillati; Bacillota; Clostridia; Eubacteriales; Eubacteriaceae.